This 429-nucleotide ribosomal RNA is filed under the name Bacteroidota bacterium. RNAcentral's name for it is "Bacteroidetes bacterium partial 16S ribosomal RNA". It matches the Rfam family "Bacterial small subunit ribosomal RNA", at positions 355 to 776 of the family's 1533-position model. The record is from RNAcentral. Lineage: Bacteria; Pseudomonadati; Bacteroidota.
UAGGGAAUCUUCGGCAAUGGGGGGAACCCUGACCGAGCAACGCCGCGUGAGUGAAGAAGGUUUUCGGAUCGUAAAGCUCUGUUGUUAAGGAAGAACGAGUGUGAGAAUGGAAAGUUCAUACUGUGACGGUACUUAACCAGUAAGGGACGGCUAACUACGUGCCAGCAGCCGCGGUAAUACGUAGGUCCCGAGCGUUGUCCGGAUUUAUUGGGCGUAAAGCGAGCGCAGGCGGUUAGGUAAGUCUGAAGUUAAAGGCAGUGGCUCAACCAUUGUAGGCUUUGGAAACUGUUUAACUUGAGUGCAGAAGGGGGGGGUGGAAUUCCAUGUGUAGCGGUGGAAUGCGUAGAUAUAUGGAGGAACACCGGUGGCGAAAGCGGCUCUCUGGUCUGUAACUGACGCUGAGGCUCGAAAGCGUGGGGAGCGAACAGG